Hordeum vulgare subsp. vulgare (domesticated barley) is the source of this 540-nucleotide RNA transcript. RefSeq lists it as uncharacterized. The transcript is spliced from 4 exons. NCBI's taxonomy places the organism in Eukaryota, Viridiplantae, Streptophyta, Magnoliopsida, Poales, Poaceae. The record is from RefSeq and is a predicted model, not a curated record.
CAGUGACCCGAAAGAGCACACAAGAAAAAGCGCUCGCCCAAUCAAACAACACAAGUCUAUAUUGAGGAGAAGGCUUGACGCGCCGUCGGCACUGACUCUAGCGCCCAUGGAUCCGGCUACCCGCUCAUCUGAGGCAAGCACCAAGGCUUCGUAAUUUAAUUUAGUAUGAUUGAUAACCUUCCACGUGCAGAAGAGCACCUGCUCCUCGUGCGGCUACCCCGCCGCCCGCAUCCGCAAGUAAAGCACAGGAGGAGAAGCUAUUCUUCCUCAGAAUCUGAUAGUGAAUCAGAGAGCAACAGUGAUCGUAAACACACAGGAAGAGGAAGGACCGCAAAAGGCACAGGAAACAUGGCCACUCUGACUUUUGAUGGUGCCAGGAGGCGCAAGCAUAGGUCAAAGAGGAGGUAUUCAGACUCUAGUGAUGAGAGUGACAGCGACAACUACAAUAGUGAAUCUGAAGAAAAUAUACAUUGUAUUGUAUAUGCUACUGAAGUAAAAUAUACAUUUUAUUUGCAAUCAAUAGAUGACUAUGCAGGAUGA